Long non-coding RNA from Mustela putorius furo (domestic ferret), 2520 nucleotides. Lineage: Eukaryota; Metazoa; Chordata; Mammalia; Carnivora; Mustelidae. The record is from Ensembl.
CUGCUUUCUACCUGUCUACUCAUUUACCUUUUAGACCUAAAACUGAACUGGAAUUGUAUUCUCCUCCUUCUUUCUUUCAAAGUACUGGACAUUCAUUCAGAUUGGACACAACGUUGAAGACCAAGAUGUUUUAUCCUGAAACAACUGUUGAAGGCCAGAAUGCACAGGGGCCUAACCGGACUAAUGAGAGUGUCUUCCCCAAACAAAAGUGAUCUUUCUGCCUCUAUGGCAGUGGAGACCAAGCAAGCUGGCAGUCUUACAGCACUUAUAAGUAACAGUAUACACACUGAAAAACAGUGUGAGUUGUGGAAGUCUGCCCCAGGACUCAUUGAGCAAGUCACAAUACUCGGAAGUGACACAGGCACAUUAUACACUGCUGAGCACUGGAAAUACCUGCAAGCACUUCUGGGAAUACUUCAGAAGCUUCCACCACUGUUCUGUUUUUUUAAUCAGAUCACAAGUAGGCAGAGAGGCAGGCAGAGAGAGAGGAGGAAGCAGGCUCCCCACUGAGCAGAGAGCGCAGAGAUCCCAGGAAAGCAGAGGCUUUAACCCACUGAGCCACCCAGGUGCCCCUGCUAUCUACAUUUUAAAGAGAUUGUAAAGAUAACAUAUUAAUGUAGUAUUUUGAAGUAUAUUAUAUUUUCAAAGAUUUAUGUUAUUAAAUAGCGAACCGGGAAAGGAACAGAAGGCAUAUAAAGUAAAGGCAAUAAAAACUACCAGUAUUUAUUGAGCUCUUAUCCUUGCCAAAUACUGUUCUAAGUGUUUUUCAUGUGUGAAUCCAUUCCAUCUCACAACUUGAUGAUGUUAUAUAUUAUUAUUUCCAUUAUACAGGCAAGGAAAUUGACUAGCCCAAGGUCAUAAAGCUAAGAAAUAAUAGGUCUGGAUUCAAGCCCAGGAAUUCUGGAUCCAGAGCAAUACACCCUUAUCAGGACAUACAUGCUUAGUCUUCAGUUCCAAGAUAUUGACUAAUCAAACAGAUGGAAUAGUUAUACGGGGAGUAUUUUAUUCAACUUGAAAGUCAUCCUUUGGUGACCAACUAAUCCUAGAUUUAGGUCUAUACUGCAUAUUUUGAAAAGGGGAAUUUGUGAUUGUCUUGUUUAUUCAUAAUCAUAUAAUUUUAGAGCUCAAAAAUAUAGGUACCAUCUAGCCAACUUCCUAAUUUUACUGGUAGAGAAAUUAAGAGUCUUGACUGUAGUUACAGAAUUAAUUAGUAGCAGAUCCCAGACAAAAAUUUGGGCUUCCUAACAUAUUUUCCAGUUCAGGACUCUUCUUUAUUGUACUGUAUUAUUUUCUUUUACCAACCUUUCCCUAUUUCUCCAACCCUACCCUCCAGCAACUGGCAACCAUUUUUCUGUUCUCUUUUAAUAGGAGUUUGAUUUUUUUUUUUUCAUAAGUGAUUCCAUGCAAUAUUUCUAUUGUCUUUCUCAGUCUGACUUCUCUUAGCAUAAUGCCCUCAAGGUCCAUCCAUGUUGUUGCAGAUGGCAGAACGUCCUUCUUUCUCAUGGCUGAAUAAUAUUCCAUUGUGUGUGUGUGUGUGUGUGUGUGUGUGUGCGCCCCACAUCUUCUUUAUCAAUUUAUUUAUUGGACACUUAGAUUGUUUGUAUAUAUUAGCUAUUAUGAAUAAUGCUGCAAUAAACAUGGGAAUACAGGUAUCUUUUCAAGAUAGUAUUUCAUUUCCUUCGGAUAUAUACCCAGAAAUGGGACUGUGGGACCAUACAGUGGCUGUAUUUUUAAUUUUUUAAAGACCCUCCAUACUGUUUUCCAUAUGAGUAUACCAAUUAUAUUCCUAUCAAGAGUGCACAAGGAUUCCCUUUUCUCCACAUCUUCACUAAUGCUUGUUAUCUCUUGUCUUUUUGAUGAUAGCCAUUCUAAAAGGUGUAAGGUGUGAUGUCUUAUUAUGGUUUUGAUUUGUAUUUCCCUGAUGGUUAGUGAUAUUGAACACCUUUCCGUGUAUUUCUUGAGCAUUUGUAUGUCUUCUUAGAGAAAUGUCUGUUCAGAUUUUCUGCCCAUUUUUUAGUCAAAUUGUUGGGUUGUUGUUUGCAGUCGAGUCAUAUGAGUAUCUUAUGUAUUUUGGACAUUAACCUAUUAUAUAAUGAUUUGCAGAUAUUUUCUCCCGUUCUUUAAGUUGCCUUUUCAUUUUGUUGAUGGUUUCAUUUGCUGUGAAGAAGCUCUUUAAUUUGAUGUAGCUGCAUUUACUGAUUUUUGCUUUUGGUAUCAAAUCCAAAAAUCAUUGCCAAGGCCAAUGUCAAGUAACUUGCCCUCUAUGUUUUCUUCUUGGAGUUGUAUGGUUUCAGGUCUUAAGUUCAAGCCUUUGUCUGUUUUGAGUUUGUUUUUGUGUACGGUGUAAGACAGAGGUCCAAUUUCAUCCUUUUGCAUGUGUCUGUCUAGUUUUCCCAGUACCAUCUAUUAAAGAGACUGUCCUUUCUUGGUUCCCUUGCUAUAAGUUAAUUGACCAUAUAUUCAUAGGUUUUUUUCCUGGGAUCUCUAUUCUGUUACAUUGAUUUUUAUGUCUGAUUUUUA